CCUACGGGGGGCUGCAGUGAGGAAUAUUGGUCAAUGGGCGAGAGCCUGAACCAGCCAAGUCGCGUGAGGGAGUACUGCCCUAUGGGUUGUAAACCUCUUUUGUCGGGGAGCAAAAGCCGGACGUUUCCGGCUGUGAGAGUACCCGAAGAAAAAGCAUCGGCUAACUCCGUGCCAGCAGCCGCGGUAAUACGGGGGAUGCGAGCGGUAUCCGGAUUUUUUGGGUUUAAAGGGUGCGCAGGCGGAUUUUUAAGUCAGCGGUCAAAUCUUGGGGCUCAACCCCAUCCAGCCGUUGAAACUGGGGAUCUAGAGUGUGCGAGAGGUAUGCGGAAUGCGUGGUGUAGCGGUGAAAUGCAUAGAUAUCACGCAGAACCCCGAUUGCGAAGGCAGCAUACCGGUGCACAACUGACGCUCAGGCACGAAAGCGUGGGUAUCGAACAGGAUUAGAUACCCUUGUAGUC
Molecule: ribosomal RNA, 458 nt
Filed under: uncultured bacterium
Lineage: Bacteria
Description: partial 16S ribosomal RNA
Rfam family: Bacterial small subunit ribosomal RNA
Source: RNAcentral